RNAcentral lists this ribosomal RNA (263 nucleotides) under uncultured prokaryote. Its description in RNAcentral is "partial 16S ribosomal RNA". It matches the Rfam family "Bacterial small subunit ribosomal RNA", at positions 526 to 788 of the family's 1533-position model. The record is from RNAcentral.
CGGAGGAUCCGAGCGUUAUCCGGAUUUAUUGGGUUUAAAGGGUGCGCAGGCGGGAAAUUAAGUCGGCGGUGAAAUUUUGCAGCUCAACUGUAAAAGUGCCAUUGAUACUGGUUUCCUUGAGUGUGGAUGAAGUAGGCGGAAUUUGUGGUGUAGCGGUGAAAUGCAUAGAUAUCACGAGGAACUCCGAUUGCGCAGGCAGCUUACUAAACUACUACUGACGCUCAGGCACGAAGGCGUGGGGAUCAAACAGGAUUAGAUACCCG